This 402-nucleotide ribosomal RNA is filed under the name uncultured bacterium. Its description in RNAcentral is "partial 16S ribosomal RNA". It matches the Rfam family "Bacterial small subunit ribosomal RNA", at positions 360 to 774 of the family's 1533-position model. The record is from RNAcentral.
AAUAUUGCACAAUGGGCGAAAGCCUGAUGCAGCGACGCCGCGUGGGGGAUGAAUGNCUNNGGUUUNUNAACCCCUUUCAGUAGNNNNNAAUCGAGAGUGACUGUACCUGCAGCAGAAGCGCCGGCUAACUACGUUCCAGCAGCCGCGGUAAUACGUAGGGCGCAAGCGUUGUCCGGAAUUAUUGGGCGUAAAGAGCUCGUAGGCGGUCAGUCGCGUCUGCUGUGAAAACCCGAGGCUCAACCUCGGGCCUGAAGUGGGUACGGGCUGACUAGAGUGUGGUAGGGGAGACUGGAAUUCCUGGUGUAGCGGUGGAAUGCGCAGAUAUCAGGAGGAACACCGAUGGCGAAGGCAGGUCUCUGGGCCACAACUGACGCUGAGGAGCGAAAGCAUGGGGAGCGAACA